This 410-nucleotide ribosomal RNA is filed under the name uncultured bacterium. RNAcentral's name for it is "bacterial SSU rRNA". It matches the Rfam family "Bacterial small subunit ribosomal RNA", at positions 370 to 772 of the family's 1533-position model. The record is from RNAcentral.
AAUGGGGGCAACCCUGAUCCAGCCAUGCCGCGUGAGUGAAGAAGGCCUUCGGGUUGUAAAGCUCUUUCGGCCGGGAAGAAAUCGCAUCUCCUAAUACGGGGUGUGGAUGACGGUACCGGAAGAAGAAGCACCGGCUAACUACGUGCCAGCAGCCGCGGUAAUACGUAGGGNGCGAGCGUUAAUCGGAAUUACUGGGCGUAAAGCGUGCGCAGGCGGCUCACUAAGACAGAUGUGAAAUCCCCGGGCUCAACCUGGGAAUGGCGCUUGUGACUGUGUGGCUUGAGUUCGGCAGAGGGGGGUGGAAUUCCACGUGUAGCAGUGAAAUGCGUAGAGAUGUGGAGGAACACCGAUGGCGAAGGCAGCCCCCUGGGCCGCGACUGACGCUCAUGCACGAAAGCGUGGGGAGCAAA